Non-coding RNA from Acanthosepion pharaonis, 97 nucleotides. Lineage: Eukaryota; Metazoa; Mollusca; Cephalopoda; Sepiida; Sepiidae. The record is from the annotation of a GenBank genome assembly.
UUGAAACCCCUGCUCUCAUAUGAUCACUGAAAUAAAGUAAAAUUGAGCCUGAUCAAUACUUAGGUGGGUAACUGUUUGGGAAUACCAGGUGCUGUAA